GCCCGAGUGGUGGAAUUGGUAGACACAAGAGACUUAAAAUCUCUCGAAACGCUUGUUUCGUACCGGUUCGAUUCCGGUCUCGGGCA
This 86-nucleotide transfer RNA is filed under the name Denitrovibrio acetiphilus DSM 12809. RNAcentral's name for it is "tRNA-Leu (TAA) (tRNA-Leu-TAA-1-1)". It matches the Rfam family "tRNA". From Rfam's summary of the family: Transfer RNA (tRNA) molecules are approximately 80 nucleotides in length. Lineage: Bacteria; Pseudomonadati; Deferribacterota; Deferribacteres; Deferribacterales; Geovibrionaceae. The record is from Rfam by way of RNAcentral.